UUAAUGUUUGUAUUGAUUCAGACACAGGCUAUUCGGCAUAAAUACGGCGCCGGGGGCGCCGAAGCACGUUUUCGCUUCCACAGGUUUGAAGGGUUGAAGGUCAAAAGACCAUUCAGUAAUGAUCCCUCCGCAGGUUCACCUACGGAGA
This 148-nucleotide unclassified non-coding RNA is filed under the name uncultured fungus. Its description in RNAcentral is "sequence contains ITS1". Lineage: Eukaryota; Fungi. The record is from RNAcentral.